This 492-nucleotide ribosomal RNA is filed under the name uncultured bacterium. RNAcentral's name for it is "partial 16S ribosomal RNA". It matches the Rfam family "Bacterial small subunit ribosomal RNA", at positions 29 to 507 of the family's 1533-position model. The record is from RNAcentral.
AGUGGACGCUGGCGGUAGGCCUAACACAUGCAAGUCGAACGGCAGCACAGUAAGAGCUUGCUCUUACGGGUGGCGAGUGGCGGACGGGUGAGGAAUACAUCGGAAUCUACUUUUUCGUGGGGGAUAACGUAGGGAAACUUACGCUAAUACCGCAUACGACCUACGGGUGAAAGCAGGGGAUCUUCGGACCUUGCGCGAUUGAAUGAGCCGAUGUCGGAUUAGCUAGUUGGCGGGGUAAAGGCGCACCAAGGCGACGAUCCGUAGCUGGUCUGAGAGGAUGAUCAGCCACACUGGAACUGAGACACGGUCCAGACUCCUACGGGAGGCAGCAGUGGGGAAUAUUGGACAAUGGGCGCAAGCCUGAUCCAGCCAUACCGCGUGGGUGAAGAAGGCCUUCGGGUUGUAAAGCCCUUUUGUUGGGAAAGAAAAGCAGCAGGUUAAUACCCCGCUGUUCUGACGGUACCCAAAGAAUAAGCACCGGCUAACUUCGUG